CCUCGCGUUCCCCUACCCUAGCCGCCUCCUGUCUCAUCUCUUCUCUCUCCAAGUCUCCAAGGAAAGAAAGAAAGCUCUCUCUCUCUCUCUCUCUCUCAUGUCCUCCUCCGAGCCUGAGCCUGCCAUGGCGCUCUUCUGCCCAUUUAUCCUACCCAGCUCGCUGACCUUGGCUCCGACGGCAAACUUCUUCCUGGUUGCAUGCCAAUCGGAUCCACCCAUGGACUAUCUCUUGUGGUGCAGCCUCAAGAUGUUCACGGACGGGGCGGUGAGAUCUAUCGAUUGGUUCUCCAAUCAACAGCCGGAUGCGUCCGAAUUUCUAGUGGUGCCAACCUAAGAUGAACACGGAUGCCAAGGUACACCUUCGAUUCAAUCAGAUUCAUCCCAUCCGUGGACCAACUCAGAAAAAAAAAAGAUUCAACCAAGAGCCGGAUGAGUCCGAAACUCUGAGAUGCCACGAUAGUAGUAGUGAUUUAUCUCUCUGGUUGAUUACCAUCAGACCUAGAUCCGCUAGUGUAUGCCACCACAAGAGCCACGUCAACUUGGAAGAUAUUAAAUCUUCUACUCCUCCUUUUUCUGCUACUCCGCCCUAAGAGCAUCUAGCAAAUAUGAACUCCUGUAUGUCUGUGUACAGCCCUUAAAUGCCCCGGCCACAACCGUCCCCUCAUAUGCAAAUCGCCAAAUCCUACAAUAUCAUGCAACACAGACCUACACACAUACUCCCUCCGUUCGGAAUUACUUGUCACAAAAAUGAAUGAAAAUGAAUGCAUCUACAACUAAAAUACAUGUAGAUACAUUCGUUCCUCCGACAAGUAUUUUCGGAUGGAGGGAGUACUUCAUACUUCAUAUAGGAGAUAGCGCAUAGUUCAUCAAGGACAUAGCGAACUAGGUCAUAGCAUAAGGGAGUUCAUCAUCAUAUAUGACAUCGGACCGCAGAAAUUAGGCAUGUUCUACUAGUUAAAAUAGGGAUCUCACAGCACUCGAAGAUGACAUAGGGAUCGAGACGGAUUUGCUCGGCGCCGUAGCUGUAGGUGUUGGAUGCGGCAUCAGUCUCCUCCUGUUCAUUUGGGGGCAGGUUGUGCGAGGGCACGGACCACCCAUGUCUGCUCCACCACGUGUGGGUUUGUGGAUGCCGGAUAGCCCGGACGUUUGGGCUGUCUGCCCGGUCGUUUAGAGCAUCUACAACGGAUUUAGCAAAUCCGGUCCCUCAAACGCCUGUGGACGCGCUGGGGCUCGUCUGCCGACACUGACCGGUCACGCAUCAAAUUUCUCUUCUCACGACCGGACACCUCAAUUAGCACACCUCAAAUCCAUACAAACUCAUGCAACUACAUAUUAGGACAUGCCAUCAGACUACAAAAAAAAAUGGCAUGUUUGACCUACAUACUAGCUAUUGAGAAGAUCAUCCACGACUACCCUUGCCCUUCCCGGCGCCCUUGCUGUCCUUCUCACGGAAGUAGCGGUCGAAGACGCAGUAUGGAUCGAGCCGGAUCUGCCUGUCACCGGAGCCGUCCGACCCAUCGUGGUCCUCCUUCUCCUCCUUGGGGGCAGUCUGGCUAUGGCACGGACCGCCUGAUUCUGCUCUCGAGCGAGGGCGCACGUGUUACAAUGCCGACGCGGACGGCUUCCUCCUCUACGGGAGCGCGUGUCGCCGCAUCAGCCGCCAUGUUGGCAGCGACUCAGGCCUCGGCGGCCCUCAUCCUCUCCUUCCCGUGGCGGGCACACCGGCCCCGAUAGGACUCAUACUCCGGCAGACCGGUGAUGGGGCGUCCCAUAUCCAUCCUACAUUUGAGCUGGAUAUGAGGGGUGUCGAGUAGUCUGGGUCGUUUGAGCCAUUCAUGAGGGUCUUUUUUGGUGACCGGUCACUGAUCGGGCUGUCCGUCUUGACGUUUGAGACGGGUUUGAGGCAUUCGGGUAUAGAUGCUCUUAGUUGGAAAAAGUAAGAUCCGGUUGUGAUGCUCUAAGAACUGAUUUUUUAUCUACCACCGGCGGCCGGACGCACUCAAUCGAUUGGAGGCUUGGAGGCUUGGAGCCCACUGGACUGGUGCAAACCCGGCUCAAUCAUCACCCGCUGCUCUCUACAGCUCUCGCCUCCAACCCCCCCUACCUCUUGCAUUCCGCCCUUUCCGCCCCCCUGCCUUAAGGCUGCCGCUGCCGCUGCCGCCCAGCAAAAACCCUAACCCCUCCGCCGCCGGAACUUGUUCCUCCAAGCCGCUCCUCAGGUCUCGCCGCCAUGACCUCGAAGCUUCCAGACGCUGAUGACGUCCUGCCUCGCGACCACCCGCUGAGGCGCCUCCCGGGAUCGGUUGUCUCGCGUGUUUCUGGUGGUUUCGAGAGGAUGAAGGAGGACAUCAGCGCACUGUUCAGGGGUCCUGUGUUUCCUCGUCCUCGCCCGGAUCCUCGCCCUCCACACGCACUGUUGCUCAGCCCGGCUGCCCUCUCAGUGUUGGAUGGCCCUUCCAUCUCAAGGAGUGAGAUUGAGAGGUUUAAGCUGGACCUGCAGACUGCUUUGGCGGAAGUUAACCAGUCUGUAGAAGUAUCUGCAAAAGGGAGGCUGUCUGCAUAUGACAGCAGGGAAGAGUUUGUGCAUAUCAUCAAUUUGCUUGAAGUUCACGCUACUGAUGUUAAAUAUGCCAUUGACGUUGGCAUCUCAAGUGGCAAAGUUUCAAAAGAGGGUGCUCAGGAACUGAAAUUGCUCAUUGAUCAUUUGGUUAUGUCCAUGAGGAAUGUCCACCAGUGGAAAUUAAAUCGCAGCACUUCAAAUUUAAUUGCUCUUCUUGGGUUGCCAAUGCGUUUAGGCUCCCUUGCUAAGCAGGUCACUUCGUUUGUUUAUUUUGUAAAAACAGUCCUCCUGCUUCGUGAUGUCGCAUUUCCCCCGAAGAAUGGUACUGGUUUGUUCAGAGACAUUGGUAAAAGAGCCAAAGCUGUGCUGUAUGAGGACUAUGCCACUGCAGGUUUGGGGAUGGUUCUCAACUCUGAGUCUACUGAUAAAUUGAGUAUGAUUGCUGGAUUCAAGGUGACCGAUCAGAAUAUCAUUAGCAGAUCUUUUGUCAAAUUAAAGAAUGUGAACUUGUCAGUUGACAUGAAUGCUGUCCUCAACGGGAAUUCACUUGCAACGAUUACACUUGAUGAUGCUUGGGUUUCUGAUACUAAGUGCAUUCUGUCCGUUCCGGUGCCAUGGCAGAACUCUCCCAAACUGAAUAUGAAUGCCUGGGUCAAUAUUAUGGUAUCACGGCAAGUAUCGGCUUGGAUGCUCAUCCUGUCGUUGAUUUUUCUGGUCUGUGGGGCAACAGACUUAUGUCUGCUGGUUUCCGGUUUGAAUUGAACACAGCAACGUCUACAUUAAGUAACUAUGCUGCUGGACUGACUGUGGUCCGUGAUCACUCUGCAUUUGGUGCAACAGUAAAUAACCAUGGACUCCUAACGGGAACAAUCUGGAGCGACAUCGUUCCCAAGAGGUCUUAUGUUCCUGAUCGGCUGAGGAGCUACCUUGAUCCCAUCUUGAGCUAUCUGAGCCCAGAUGUGAUAACCACCCAAGUUGGAGCCAUGUUUGACUACUGUUUUGCAAGCGUCAGGAUGCGCUGCAUGGUUGGAGUGAAUCAUGAGUUUGAUUCUGAUACUAGCCUCAAGGCCCGCAUUGACACCUCAGGUGGAGCUACUGCAAUGGUCAAGAGCAAGAUAGCGGAGAAGGCGUUUGUUUCAGUGAGCACGGAGGUGAACCUGAAUGACGUUUGGAGGCUGCCAAGAGUGGGUGUCUGCCUUUCGCUCAACCAGUGAUGGAAUGAGUGAAUGUUGGUGGCCCGCAGAAGCCUGUCUCCUUUUGUUCCUUAAUUGCCUGGAGAGUUUGAGUGAUGCCACUUGCACUUGUGGUUGUUUUCCCCUGUGCCUUGAUAACUUUUUUGCAAUGCUGGAACAUGAUGCUGAUAUCUUGGUGACAUGUUUUGCAACGCUGGAGAUUUUGUACGCUUUGUUGUUGCUGGGGCUGUUUUGGGAUUUUAACUGUCUGUCUGCCCUGUUUAUCUU
Molecule: RNA transcript, 4020 nt
Organism: Triticum dicoccoides
Lineage: Eukaryota; Viridiplantae; Streptophyta; Magnoliopsida; Poales; Poaceae
Exons: 12
Source: RefSeq, a predicted model, not a curated record